ACACCUGUUCUUUUAUAAGCACUCAGCGAUGGAUACAGUUGUAGACACACCUGUUCCUCAACCGAGGCAACAUUGUCAACCUCGACAAGCUGGCUACCGACCAGUACAACGCCUGCCAUGUCAGCGGCAUCCAGCGCCUUGCAUUUGCGCUCUGCAAGGCACUCGCAAAACUUUAUGUCCGGAAUUCCUCAUGACCUCGACUUUAACUAAGCUCCCCUUCGUUCACGUCUCCGGUCUCCGCUGAAGAUAAGCGCCACACAGCGGAAUGCGGAGAGAAAAGCCAGCAGGCGUCACAAAGGGGAGCUGCUUUUUCUAAGGCGCUAGAUAGCUUACUCGCCCACGGUACGACUUGCAGUGGCUGGAAGUUAAUAGAAAAAAAAAAUAAUAAUAAUAAAAGGUAUAAACGGCUCUAAAGUCUGGACACUCGUUACACUGGGUUUUCAAGCCGACGUC
This 453-nucleotide long non-coding RNA is filed under the name Ixodes scapularis (black-legged tick). RNAcentral's name for it is "uncharacterized LOC121833833, transcript variant X1". The record is from RNAcentral. Lineage: Eukaryota; Metazoa; Arthropoda; Arachnida; Ixodida; Ixodidae.